CUACAACUACUGCAGCAACAACGACAACUGCUCCACCAACCACCACAAGCAUGGCUUCAACUACUACAUCGACUGCCCCCACAACAACUGGGAGUGGAAUGGCUAUAGCCCUGCAAUGCUUCAACUGCAGAGGUGAUGGUUGUAUGAGUCCACCAACCAAGACAUGUGACCCAGGGGAGAUGUGUAUAACAGCUUUUAUCAGUGCUACCACAGGUGGACAAACUAUAACCCAAAUCUACAAGGACUGUGGUGCAUUGUCUCUGUGUCAAGAAUCAGGCAUUCAGACCUAUUCAGCAAACAUGGGGUUCCAACGUGUAAUUGCAUCUGCUGAGUGUUGUGACAAUGACAUGUGCAACUCAGAAACUCUAAAAUCGCCCCCUGCACAAAACAUAGAAAAAAAUCGCAGCUGUUUUAUUGUGGAUCAGGAAACUUCAAAACAGGACUCAACAGUAAAAUGUUCCGAAUUGGAGACCAACUGCUUUUCAGCAACUUUUAAUCAAAGCAACAGAAACUUUCCGAGGCUGGGCUGUGUGUCUCCAAAUAUAUGUACAGCUGCUAUGGACCUGAAUAAAUUACCGUUCCUGGAAAAUAUAGGUUCAAUCACAAGUGGACCAAGCUGUUGUGAAGGUAAUUUAUGUAAUAAUGUAAAUCGUCCACCUAGUCCAAAACCCACUACUGCAGCAACAACAACCACAACUGCACCACCAACAACUACAACUACUCC
Fundulus heteroclitus (mummichog) is the source of this 724-nucleotide long non-coding RNA. RefSeq lists it as uncharacterized. Lineage: Eukaryota; Metazoa; Chordata; Actinopteri; Cyprinodontiformes; Fundulidae. The record is from RefSeq and is a predicted model, not a curated record. The transcript is spliced from 5 exons.